Molecule: ribosomal RNA, 265 nt
Filed under: uncultured bacterium
Lineage: Bacteria
Description: partial 16S ribosomal RNA
Rfam family: Bacterial small subunit ribosomal RNA
Source: RNAcentral
GUCCACGCCGUAAACGAUGAGUGCUAGAUGCUGUGGGUAUUGACCCCCGCGGUGUCGCAGCCAACGCGUUAAGCACUCCGCCUGGGGAGGUACGGCCGCAAGGCUAAAACUCAAGGAAUUGACGGGGGCCCGCACAAGCGGUGGAGCAUGUGGUUCAAUUCGACGCAACGCGCAGAACCUUACCUGGGUUAAAUCCACUAGAAGACUACAGAGAUGUGGUUUUGCCCUUCGGGGAGCUAGUGAGAAGGUGCUGCAUGGCUGUCGU